AACUGCUCUCCCAAUUAAGUCAGUUGGACUUUUGAUUUUGACUAAAUUGGGAGAAGGGUUGA
RNAcentral lists this microRNA precursor (62 nucleotides) under Chrysemys picta bellii (western painted turtle). RNAcentral describes it as "Cpi-Mir-1677-o8_pre stem-loop". The record is from RNAcentral. Lineage: Eukaryota; Metazoa; Chordata; Testudines; Emydidae.